UAAACGUAGAUUACCGACAAAAGCGAUUCCAUAACCCCUAAGCUAUUUUGCGAGACGAAUCUAAUGAUGUAUAUUAAUCCAUGAUUAGCGACCGAUUACUGUAGCAUCACUAUAAUAAAUCAUGGAUUAAUAUACCUCAUUAGAUUCGUCUCGCAAAAUAGACUAGGGGUUAUAGAAUGGGUUUUGUCACUAAUAUAUGUUUA
This 203-nucleotide microRNA precursor is filed under the name Oryza sativa Indica Group (long-grained rice). RNAcentral's name for it is "osa-MIR813". The record is from RNAcentral. Lineage: Eukaryota; Viridiplantae; Streptophyta; Magnoliopsida; Poales; Poaceae.